AAACCAUGAUAUGGACAAUGGCGCAACAUUAACUUAAAGCACUCUCAUACCUCAUAUAAUGACUCUCAUUCCAAUUGUCAAAAAUUCGUAAUAUUCAUACGAAGUUU
Non-coding RNA from Gossypium raimondii (Peruvian cotton), 107 nucleotides. Lineage: Eukaryota; Viridiplantae; Streptophyta; Magnoliopsida; Malvales; Malvaceae. The record is from Rfam.